RNAcentral lists this ribosomal RNA (468 nucleotides) under uncultured bacterium. RNAcentral's name for it is "partial 16S ribosomal RNA". It matches the Rfam family "Bacterial small subunit ribosomal RNA", at positions 28 to 507 of the family's 1533-position model. The record is from RNAcentral.
GACGAACGCUGGCGGCGUGCUUAACACAUGCAAGUCGAACGGAAAGGCCCUGCUUUUGUGGGGUGCUCGAGUGGCGAACGGGUGAGUAACACGUGAGUAACCUGCCCUUGACUUUGGGAUAACUUCAGGAAACUGGGGCUAAUACCGGAUAGGAGCUCCUGCUGCAUGGUGGGGGUUGGAAAGUUUCGGCGGUUGGGGAUGGACUCGCGGCUUAUCAGCUUGUUGGUGGGGUAGUGGCUUACCAAGGCUUUGACGGGUAGCCGGCCUGAGAGGGUGACCGGCCACAAUGGGACUGAGAUACGGCCCAGACUCCUACGGGAGGCAGCAGUGGGGAAUAUUGCACAAUGGGCGGAAGCCUGAUGCAGCAACGCCGCGUGCGGGAUGACGGCCUUCGGGUUGUAAACCGCGUUCGCCUGUGACGAAGCGUGAGUGACGGUAAUGGGUAAAGAAGCACCGGCUAACUACGUG